CCCUCGUCAUGAAACAUUAUUGAAGGUGUUAGGAAGGUGGACGGUGGGUGGUAAGUUGAAUAAUAGCACUGUAAUUAACUAUAUCAACUAGUCAGACUGCUAUGAACCUAGAAAGUGAUUAUACAAAGACCAUGCAUAUGGCUUCACACACAGAUUGGGUACAUCAAUCAUACAGUGGGAGGAGACUGACCUCACUUGGCCUUCAGAAUGAUAUACUAAUUGCUGUUCAAUAAAUUUUAUAUGAUCUGUUAUCAUAAUCUGCAUUUCCUCACCAAGAGUAAUUGCUUGUGACAUGUAUCUGAUUAGGAAAAGAUUAAUGUUUGUCCUGGUGAGACUCCAUAACCUCAAAGUGUCAAAUACCAUAGACAUUUUUCUCAAACUAAAACAGGUGGUCAAUGAUGUUAAAUGUAUCAAUGAUGUCAGCA
This 425-nucleotide long non-coding RNA is filed under the name Mytilus galloprovincialis (Mediterranean mussel). The record is from RNAcentral. Lineage: Eukaryota; Metazoa; Mollusca; Bivalvia; Mytilida; Mytilidae.